This 655-nucleotide ribosomal RNA is filed under the name uncultured forest soil bacterium. Its description in RNAcentral is "bacterial SSU rRNA". It matches the Rfam family "Bacterial small subunit ribosomal RNA", at positions 64 to 767 of the family's 1533-position model. The record is from RNAcentral.
GAGCGCCCCGCAAGGGGAGCGGCAGACGGGAGAGUAACACGUGGGAACGUGCCCUUUGGUUCGGAACAACACAGGGAAACUUGUGCUAAUACCGGAUAAGCCCUUACGGGGAAAGAUUUAUUGCCAAAGGAUCGGCCCGCGUCUGAUUAGCUUGUUGGUGAGGUAACGGCUCACCAAGGCUACGAUCAGUAGCUGGUCUGAGAGGAUGAUCAGCCUCACUGGGACUGAGACACGGCCCAGACUCCUACGGGAGGCAGCAGUGGGGAAUAUUGGACAAUGGGCGCAAGCCUGAUCCAGCCAUGCCGCGUGGAUGAUGAAGGCCUUAGGGUUGUAAAGUCCUUUCGGCGGGGAAGAUAAUGACGGUACCCGCAGAAGAAGCCCCGGCUAACUUCGUGCCAGCAGCCGCGGUAAUACGAAGGGGGCUAGCGUUGCUCGGAAUCACUGGGCGUAAAGCGCACGUAGGCGGCUUUUUAAGUCAGGGGUGAAAUCCUGGAGCUCAACUCCAGAACUGCCUUUGAUACUGAGAAGCUUGAGUCCGGGAGAGGUGAGUGGAACUGCGAGUGUAGAGGUGAAAUUCGUAGAUAUUCGCAAGAACACCAGUGGCGAAGGCGGCUCACUGGCCCGGUACUGACGCUGAGGUGCGAAAGCGUGUGGA